Molecule: long non-coding RNA, 373 nt
Filed under: Nicotiana benthamiana
Lineage: Eukaryota; Viridiplantae; Streptophyta; Magnoliopsida; Solanales; Solanaceae
Description: long non-coding RNA (NBEN_LNC032653)
Source: RNAcentral
GAGAGUUCUUCAUCUGAGAAAAUGGAAAACUUCAUCUUUUUCUCCAUUUUUGAUCUUCAAUGUUUUCAUGGUAUCAAAGCGGACGAUCUUCGGACGCUUCUCCGUCAUUUGUUAUUAACUUUGUCAGAGUUGUAUUGAAGAUUUGGAUAUUUGUGAGAGAUUUUGUUGUAGACAAACUCUAUGUGUAUCGAGCGGUCAAUCGGAACUUUUACCGCUAUCUGAUAGUUCGAUCUUUCCUGGGUGGACGCUUUGGGUAGCUUUUCGACGUCCUCGACUUCUGGUAAGUUUCAGGUUUUAGGGUUUCUGCUGUUCGGAGCUAGGGUUUUCUCUGUCAAUCGAAGGCCGUUCUUCUCCGUUCGCGAAGAAGGCAGGU